GAAAGGCGAAAAGAACCCCGGCGAGGGGAGUGAAAAAGAACCUGAAACCGUGUACGUACAAGCAGUGGGAGCACCUUCGGGUGUGACUGCGUACCUUUUGUAUAAUGGGUCAGCGACUUAUAUUCUGUAGCAAGGUUAACCGUAUAGGGGAGCCGCAGGGAAACCGAGUCUUAACUGGGCGUUAAGUUGCAGGGUAUAGACCCGAAACCCGGUGAUCUAGCCAUGGGCAGGUUGAAGGUUGGGUAACACUAACUGGAGGACCGAACCGACUAAUGUUGAAAAAUUAGCGGAUGACUUGUGGCUGGGGGUGAAAGGCCAAUCAAACCGGGAGAUAGCUGGUUCUCCCCGAAAGCUAUUUAGGUAGCGCCUCGUGAACUCAUCUUCGGGGGUAGAGCACUGUUUCGGCUAGGGGGUCAUCCCGACUUACCAACCCGAUGCAAACUACGAAUACCGAAGAAUGUUAUCACGGGAGACACACGGCGGGUGCUAACGUCCGUCGUGAAGAGGGAAACAACCCAGACCGCCAGCUAAGGUCCCAAAGUCAUGGUUAAGUGGGAAACGAUGUGGGAAGGCACAGACAGCCAGGAUGUUGGCUUAGAAGCAGCCAUCAUUUAAAGAAAGCGUAAUAGCUCACUGGUCGAGUCGGCCUGCGCGGAAGAUGUAACGGGGCUAAACCAUGCACCGAAGCUGCGGCAGCGACAC
RNAcentral lists this ribosomal RNA (702 nucleotides) under Klebsiella quasipneumoniae. RNAcentral's name for it is "partial 23S ribosomal RNA". It matches the Rfam family "Bacterial large subunit ribosomal RNA", at positions 509 to 1214 of the family's 2925-position model. Lineage: Bacteria; Pseudomonadati; Pseudomonadota; Gammaproteobacteria; Enterobacterales; Enterobacteriaceae. The record is from RNAcentral.